RNAcentral lists this long non-coding RNA (421 nucleotides) under Cyanistes caeruleus (blue tit). RNAcentral describes it as "lncRNA (ENSCCEG00000008579.1)". Lineage: Eukaryota; Metazoa; Chordata; Aves; Passeriformes; Paridae. The record is from RNAcentral.
AAUACGCCAAAUGGAAAAAUCAGCUUCAAAGAAUCACGUCUCCACAUCAGUAAUAUCUCUCCAGAAAGUCAUCUUCGUUUCAGCCAGAUUUCUUGGGGUGUCACAGCGUACCUUGACCUGACCAUCUCUUCCUUCACUCCCAGCAAGCCUGUGCAAGCCAUAUGUCAGGAAGGAGGAAUUCAAUGAUAGACAAUUGUCAGUGAUGGCACUGGGCAUGUCAUCUGCCACUGGGUGAUCAGGAGCUGAGAAACAUGAGGUGACAUGCAGUGGAAAUUAAGAUAUCAGAACAGAGAGAUGACUUCUUGUCCAAGAAAGGCAGAAGAGUCUGGAAUGCUCAAACCAGGCUCAAGUGAAAAAAAUUCCUCGUUAAAUUCCACAGUGAUUCAUCCAGAAGUCCUGUAGUGCCAAAGUUUUAUUCAAA